RNAcentral lists this ribosomal RNA (469 nucleotides) under uncultured bacterium. Its description in RNAcentral is "partial 16S ribosomal RNA". It matches the Rfam family "Bacterial small subunit ribosomal RNA", at positions 355 to 814 of the family's 1533-position model. The record is from RNAcentral.
UAGGGAAUCUUCCACAAUGGACGCAAGUCUGAUGGAGCAACGCCGCGUGAGUGAAGAAGGUCUUCGGAUCGUAAAGCUCUGUUGUUGGUGAAGAAGGAUAGAGGCAGUAAAUGGUCUUUAUUUGACGGUAAUCAACCAGAAAGUCACGGCUAACUACGUGCCAGCAGCCGCGGUAAUACGUAGGUGGCAAGCGUUGUCCGGAUUUAUUGGGCGUAAAGCGAGCGCAGGCGGAAUGAUAAGUCUGAUGUGAAAGCCCACGGCUCAACCGUGGAACUGCAUCGGAAACUGUCAUUCUUNAGUGCAGAAGAGGAGAGUGGAACUCCAUGUGUAGCGGUGGAAUGCGUAGAUAUAUGGAAGAACACCAGUGGCGAAGGCGGCUCUCUGGUCUGCAAACUGACGCUGAGGCUCGAAAGCAUGGGUAGCGAACAGGAUUAGGAUACCCUGGUAGUCCAUGCCGUAAACGAUGAGC